UACAGAGGUCUCGAGCGUUAGGCGGAAUCACUGGGCUUAAAGCGUGUGUAGGUGGUUGUCAUAGUCAGGUGUGAAAGCCUUGAGCUCAACUCAAGAAAUGCACUUGAUACUGGGCAGCUAGAGGACCGGAGAGGAUAGUGGAAUUCCCAGUGUAGUGGUGAAAUACGUAGAGAUUGGGAAGAACACCAGUGGCGAAGGCGGCUAUCUGGACGGUUUCUGACACUAAGGCACGAAAGCGUGGGGAGCAAACAGG
Molecule: ribosomal RNA, 253 nt
Filed under: uncultured bacterium
Lineage: Bacteria
Description: partial 16S ribosomal RNA
Rfam family: Bacterial small subunit ribosomal RNA
Source: RNAcentral